CAUAUCAGAGCUUGAGGUAAAGCUUUUUAUUUACAAUAAAAUUAUUGUUUUUCAAAAAACAUGAUAUGA
This 69-nucleotide transfer RNA is filed under the name Aphaenomurus interpositus. Its description in RNAcentral is "tRNA-Val". Lineage: Eukaryota; Metazoa; Arthropoda; Collembola; Entomobryomorpha; Tomoceridae. The record is from RNAcentral.